AUGAACGCUAGCGACAGGCCUAACACAUGCAAGUCGAGCGGCAGCGCGGGGGCAACCCUGGCGGCGAGCGGCGAACGGGUGAGUAACAUAUCGGAACGUACCCUGUCGUGGGGGAUAACACAGCGAAAGCUGUGCUAAUACCGCAUACGACCUGAGGGUGAAAGCGGGGGAUCGCAAGACCUCGCGCGAUAGGAGCGGCCGAUAUCGGAUUAGCUUGUUGGUGAGGUAAAGGCUCACCAAGGCGACGAUCCGUAGCUGGUCUGAGAGGACGACCAGCCACACUGGAACUGAGACACGGUCCAGACUCCUACGGGAGGCAGCAGUGGGGAAUUUUGGACAAUGGGGGCAACCCUGAUCCAGCCAUUCCGCGUGAGUGAAGAAGGCCUUCGGGUUGUAAAGCUCUUUCAGCAGGAACGAAACGGUGGCUACUAAUACUAGCUACUAAUGACGGUACCUGAAGAAGAAGCACCGGCUAACUACGU
This 482-nucleotide ribosomal RNA is filed under the name uncultured bacterium. RNAcentral's name for it is "bacterial SSU rRNA". It matches the Rfam family "Bacterial small subunit ribosomal RNA", at positions 29 to 506 of the family's 1533-position model. The record is from RNAcentral.